Molecule: ribosomal RNA, 429 nt
Filed under: Verrucomicrobiota bacterium
Lineage: Bacteria; Pseudomonadati; Verrucomicrobiota
Description: Verrucomicrobia bacterium partial 16S ribosomal RNA
Rfam family: Bacterial small subunit ribosomal RNA
Source: RNAcentral
UAGGGAAUCUUCCGCAAUGGACGAAAGUCUGACGGAGCAACGCCGCGUGAGUGAAGAAGGAUUUCGGUUCGUAAAACUCUGUUGUUAGGGAAGAAAAAAUGUAUAGUAACUAUAUACAAAAGAGACGGUACCUAACCAGAAAGCCACGGCUAACUACGUGCCAGCAGCCGCGGUAAUACGUAGGUGGCAAGCGUUGUCCGGAAUUAUUGGGCGUAAAGCGCGCGCAGGUGGUUUAGAAAGUCUGAUGUGAAAGCCCACGGCUCAACCGUGGAGGGUCAUUGGAAACUAAUAAACUUGAGUGCAGGAGAGAAAAGUGGAAUUCCUAGUGUAGCGGUGAAGUGCGUAGAGAUUAGGAGGAACACCGGUGGCGAAAGCGGCUUUUUGGCCUGCAACUGACACUGAGGCGCGAAAGCGUGGGGAGCAAACAGG